RNAcentral lists this ribosomal RNA (437 nucleotides) under uncultured Christensenella sp. RNAcentral's name for it is "partial 16S ribosomal RNA". It matches the Rfam family "Bacterial small subunit ribosomal RNA", at positions 341 to 792 of the family's 1533-position model. The record is from RNAcentral. Lineage: Bacteria; Bacillati; Bacillota; Clostridia; Christensenellales; Christensenellaceae.
ACGGAAGGCAGCAGUGGGGGAUAUUGGGCAAUGGGCGAAAGCCUGACCCAGCAAUGCCGCGUGAGGGAAGAAGGCUUUCGGAUUGUAAACCUCUGUCCUUGGUGACGAAGAAAAUGACGGUAGCCAAGGAGAAAGCCCCGGCUAACUACGUGCCAGCAGCCGCGGUAAUACGUAGGGGGCGAGCGUUGUCCGGAAUUACUGGGCGUAAAGGGUGCGUAGGCGGCAUGCUAAGUUGGAUGUGAAAUACCCGGGCUCAACCUGGGACCUGCAUCCAAUACUGGCGUGCUAGAGUGCAGGAGAGGCAAGCGGAAUUCCUAGUGUAGCGGUGAAAUGCGUAGAUAUUAGGAGGAACACCAGUGGCGAAGGCGGCUUUCUGGACUGUAACUGACGCUGAGGCACGAAAGCGUGGGGAGCAAACAGGAUUAGAUACCCUGGUA